Toxotes jaculatrix (banded archerfish) is the source of this 5478-nucleotide long non-coding RNA. RefSeq lists it as uncharacterized. The record is from RefSeq and is a predicted model, not a curated record. Lineage: Eukaryota; Metazoa; Chordata; Actinopteri; Toxotidae. The transcript is spliced from 6 exons.
CCCGGGGAUGGGCAGGUCGUCACUGCUCCCCUGCCUCCUCAGACACUGGAUGUUAAAUGAAGGUUUCCGACCUGACGGACGACAGAGAAACAAAUGCACCCAGUCAGUGAUGAUGUCACUGUGUCAGCUCAGCUGUGAUUGGUUCAGACUUGAUCAAAGUUUACUGUUAUAUUUAAAGACGUAACUGUGACAUCACAGAAUGCUUUCAGAUAGCAGGGAGGAUUAUGGGAUUCCAUCUCACCUGUGGGUGUGGCAGGAAGUAGGCGUCUCCGGGUCGUCCUCCUGCCUUUGCUGUAGCCGUUGCCAUAGCAGCUGUUGGAGUACGGGUUGUGGCUGUCGUACUGGUCUCUGUACAGAGGAGGCUCAUCGGGGUAAUUUCUGAAAACACAGACAGGAUUUAGGACAGGUGCACAGGUCUGCCUGUCCAUCAGUUUACCUGUCUGUCUACCUGUCUGUCUAUAUACCUGUCUCUGGAGGUGAUGCUGUCGUUGUCUUCCUCUCUGCUGUAGUAACCCUGCUCUCCAUACACCUCCGUGUCCCCGUUCCUCCAGUAUCUGUCCCUUGAGUCCCUCCUGCAGAACAGUGAGACUGUGAUUGGCUGAGGCACCUGUCAGUCAAGACGAACCGGAACCCAAACAUCCUGUUUAAGCCUGAACCCCUUCUUGUUAAAUCCUUUGUAUCCAGAGCUGAACCUGUUGAAAACUGUCCUGACUGUGUGUUACAGCAGCACCUGCUGGACAGUAGAAGAACUGCAGUGAGGCGCUGCAGCACCUGUGUGGGAACCUUUCAGUUAAACAUCACAUUCGGUUUGUUCAUUGCUCCGAAGCAAAGUCCUGUGUUCUGGGUUUGUAGUGCGACGCGUACCUUCCAUGUUUGCUGUAUGAUGGUCUCUUAUGGGCAUGGUCCAGCAGGCCGUUCUUCACUGACGGGUGGCGGUGGUGAUGAUGAUUGACAGAUGACCUCAUCUUGUCUCCACGGUGAAGAUGUUCGUCGUGUUCGCUGCCAUUCGGCAUCUUGGUGAGAGAACCGACCCGGUGGAUCAGACCUCCGUUAGAUACGCCUCCGUCCCCAAUGACACCACCAGGACCUGCAGACGGGACAGACGGCGGCAGCGGCGUGGGAGUAUUAUUCAGAAUAUGACUCUCACACUGGAACACAAGUCUUUCUUCUCUGUUCGCUGAUGUUUGUGUGUUAACUGAUUCACCCUACAGGUCAUUUCCACCCCUCCAAAAACAAAAUACUUUUCUUCUUCAUUAGUUUUUUAUUCUCAGAAUAAUUUUGACUUUAGAGGUCAGAGGUGAAAAUGGGUUUCUGUAUAUUUUCUCGUGUCUUCUGUCUGAUGUUUCUCUGUAAAUGUGUGUGUGGUUUUGUGGGUUUGUGUCGGCUCAUGAUAAGGUCACAUGAUGUGUUGUUGUUUACCAGUGGGCGUGGUCAGUGCGGAGCCUCGUCGAUCUUUCUCUGGUCCAAACCCGUUGUCGCCCUGCAGAGAGAACCAGACGUCAGAUGCUGCUUGUGACCUCUCGCUUCACUUCACAGGACGACUGGUGUUUUUACAGUGUGUUCAUAAAGACCCUGUAUGCAGCAUUCUCCUCCAGCUCUCCAUCCUCCAUCAUGGCCUCCUCCUCCUCCUCCAGGUCCUCGUUCAGAGCCAGACGCAUCUCUGGACCAAGAUCCUGCAGAGUCUUCAGACCGGCUUUACACAGCUAUAAACAUACAACAUGGUUUUCAGUUUCUCCUGAAGCUCAGAGCUCUGAUAUGAAAGACUUCACCUCACAGGAUCAAUAACCAUAUCAAUAACUGCACACGUGUUGUUUCAUCAUGUGUGUUCAGACAGACAGACCUGGACAGCAGACGGGUUGGUGGAGUCGGACUCUCCGGUCAAAGCUCCUUUUUCCUUCCUCUUCCUGAACUUCCUGAAGUAAUCCUGGAUCAGGAACGUGGCGUAGAACUUCCCAACGGUCACUUCCUCCUCUGCAGGAGGAAACAGGACAGGUGACUGAUUUCAGCUGUAAAUACAGGAGCUGUUCAUCCACAGACAGGGUACACAGCACGAAGAAGAAGAAGACGACAGCAGCUGAACAUGGAUGUCAACAGUGAUGGGUUCAGUGUUAUUUAUGUAGCUCCUCCCACAAUCAAAAUGGUCUCAAAGCGCUUCACAGAAACCCAGACCCUGAUUCGAAAAAAAUCGUGUUUCUGACGAAGGAGAUGAACCUGUUCACUCGCUGGUUUGAGCUCACGGAUUCACACACACACACACACAGACACACACACACACACACACACACUUUUCUUUCUGUCUUUCUGGCUCUGACGCGUCACAUGUCUGUUUGAUACAGAUCCACAUCACUUCUGAUCCUACAAACUGAUCUGGGACAGGCGCCUGGGAAAUGUGGCAGUGUAAUGAGGGUCUGUCCUGAUCCAGCUCUGCCUCGUCCACUCAGACGUGUGAGGUGUCUGCGAUGUGUGUUACCUUGAGUCCUUUGGCUCUGUUGAUGGCUCUCAGAGGCCUGAGCACCCUGAGGACUCGGAGGAUCUUCACCACCGAGAUGGCACUGGAGCUGCAGACGCAAACACACAGCAGGAAGAAGGAGACCAGUGAGACGCUGACGACCAGGAGAUCCAGCAGGUUAAACCAGUUCCUGCAGAACGAGCCCUGAUGGAGGAACGCUCCAUGGACCGUCAUCUGGCACACAGGGAGACGAUGUUAGCAUCAGAUGGAGAGCAGAAAGACUCGGCCGGUUCGUCCUAACUGAAGCAGAUUUUUUACCUUUAACAGGAUCUCCACAGUGAAGAUGGAGGUGAAGGCGUAGUCUGCAUAACCCAGAAUCUACAAACACAAACACACUGAGCGUAAACACACACUGAGCGUGCAGAAGGAAAACAAGCUCUGCUCCAGGUGAUCCACACUAACAUGGAGGGUCAGGAUCAGUGAGUCUCACGUCCUGACAGCUUCAGCGUCUCGUCUGAGGCAGCGAACAGAAAACAUGAAAUCAUCCAAAGGAAAACGAGGAAUUCUGACUGUGGCUUCAGCUCGUCCUCUGAUCGUCCUCAGAAACUCAGUUGUCCACAGCAAUGGCCAAGAAGACGUUCAGCAGGAUGUCUGACAUACGCUAAGGACACGCAACAACGUUCAACACUGUACGGAACAAAAGCUCAUGCUAGGACGUUUUCACUGAUCACUCGGCUCCGUGGCUUUCUGAUGGAUGUUCCUGUUCCUGAACGCCUCACGGGCCAGUGAAGGAUACAGUUACCGCAGAUGAAGAGGAUGACGAAGUACACGCAGACGAUCAUCCCCGGGAACACGGGGCCUCCGUACGCCAUGAUGCCGUCAUACAUGACCACGUUCCAGUCCUCGCCUGUCAGGAUCUGAACACAGAGUCAGCAUCAGUGACACACCUCCUACAUGCUCUGACAUCACCGAUCAGCUGUGUCAUUGGUCACAUGACAGAUCUGAUUAAAGGGGCGGAGCCUUCCCUUCCUUGUUUCUGGCUGCAGGAAUAUCUGAGCUGUGUGAACGGAUUCAGUGUCUCACAAUCUAAUCAAUCAAUCGAUUUCUAAUAACUGAUCAGAACCAGUCACAUGUUCACACAGCUGUUUUCAGUCUCACUGACACUUAAGUUGUCAUCAGAAAGAGACAGUGGGACAAAUUUGUCCAUCUUGGUCCAAGUUGGACCGAGCGGUGUCUGGAGCCCUGAGCUUCAGGCCGGGGGCGUUACCUGGAAGCAGGUGAGAAGCGCCUGAGGGAAGGCGUCGAAGGUGCUGCGUUUGGUCUGCGUCUCGUCAAAGUUGAACUUUCCUCCGAACAGCUGCAUGCCGAGCAGAGCGAAGAUGAUGAGGAAGAGGAAGAGGAGGAGCAGGAGGGAGGCGAUGGACUUCAUGGAGUUCAGUAGGGACGCCACCAGAUUGGACAGAGCCGUCCAAUGGCUGAGCAGAGACAGAGUGACAUCAGAGGGGGUGAUGAGCUGAACUGACAGUGUUUAACACCUGAACUGUGACGACAGGGACACGUCUGCUGCGAUCGCCUGGUCCAGGCGUGUUCUCUCACCGCGUGACCUUGAAGAUCCUCAGCAGGCGGACGCAGCGCAGCACGGAGAUCCCCAGAGGAGGCAUGAUCUCCAGCUCCACCAGGAUGGUCUCCAUGAUGCCGCCACACACCACGAAGCAGUCGAAGCGGUUGAAGAACGCCACGAAGUAAUGAGCCAGACCCAGACUGUACAUCUUCAGCAGCAUCUCCACCGUGAACAGAGACAGCAGCACCUUGUUGGCGAUGUCUGCAGAGACACAGAGGACAGCCGUCUUUCAUUUCUCUGUUUUAGUGAUGUGAUCACACUGGUCAAAUAUACACACAGGGUCACUCAUCACAGUGGACGGUGUCCGAUGUGGGACAAAGCUUGGUUUGGUUAAAUCUACAGACGUAGCUUCGACUUUUCUGGAAGCUUCUGACACAGAGUCCUGCACAGUGACACGCUGUCUCCGUCUCCGUCUCCUCAGCCGUCAAAUAAACCACUGUGUGAGAUGAUUAUGUGAAAUGAUCCGCAGACUGGUUACACUGUGUGCGUGUGCGUGCGUGUGUUGGUACCCUGGACUUGUGUCAGCCAGUCGGGUUGGUUGUAGUGCUCGGAGGCGCUGAGAGAAGUGUUGAGGAAGACGAGCAGCAGAACCAGCCAAUAAAACGUCACCGAUUUGACGGCAGUGCGACAGUUUCUGCGACAGACACGAUUCCACCGACGCAGCGUCCGACUGACAGAGAGAGAGACAGGAAGUGAAGUGUGUGUUUAACACAGAGUGAACUGAUCUUUUCCUGAAUGUCUGACAGUCAGUGAACUCACCAGCAGCUGAUCUUCAUCAUCCGAGCGCUGAAAGGAGACGGACAGGCGUCAGUUUCCUGUCUGAAGCCUGACCAGUCACGGUCCAGUAACCAGAAUAACUGAGCCCCCACCCCCACCCUCACCCCCCCGUGCACACACACACACGCAUGUGUGUGCGCACACACGCACACACACCACCAAUAUCUGCUCUUAGUCUGAACACACACCAGCACCAGGUUAGUCUGUGAACCAGUUUCACACACGAAGGCCUGAUGGAUUCAGGAACGUGUGUGUGUGCCCGUGUGUGUGUGUGUGUGUGCGCGUGUGUGUGUGCGCGUGUGUUACCAGCAGGCCUGGCAGCAGUUGGUGUGUUCCUCAUCAAUGUUUUCAGUGUUUUCAGAAGCUGUUUCACUGGCAGGAAGACUGGCUGAGAGACAGACAGACAGAGAUACAGACAGAGACAGAGAGACAGACAGAGAGAGACAGACAGUAAAAUCCUGAUUAGAAACAGGGUCAGACACAGACCCAGAUAUUUUACAGGGACACAGUGAAGAUUUCCACAUUUAGACCGAAAGAGAAAUGAACCAGCUGUGUGUGCGUGUGUGUGUGCGCACGUGUGUGCGCGCGUGUGUGUGCGUGCGUGCGUGUGUGAGUGAGUGUGUGUGUGUGU